GGUCGGUUAGCUCAGUUGGUUAGAGCGUGGUGCUAAUAUCAUCCGAUAUCAUCCGAUGUCCUCCGAUAUACGGCACGCCAAGGUCGCGGGUUCGACCCCCGUACUGACCA
Transfer RNA from Aureobasidium subglaciale EXF-2481, 110 nucleotides. It matches the Rfam family "tRNA". From Rfam's summary of the family: Transfer RNA (tRNA) molecules are approximately 80 nucleotides in length. Their secondary structure includes four short double-helical elements and three loops (D, anti-codon, and T loops). The record is from Rfam. Lineage: Eukaryota; Fungi; Ascomycota; Dothideomycetes; Dothideales; Saccotheciaceae.